This 310-nucleotide unclassified non-coding RNA is filed under the name Clavulina sp. RNAcentral describes it as "partial contains 5.8S ribosomal RNA, internal transcribed spacer 2, and large subunit ribosomal RNA". Lineage: Eukaryota; Fungi; Basidiomycota; Agaricomycetes; Cantharellales; Hydnaceae. The record is from RNAcentral.
CGCACCUUGCACUCCUUGGUAUUCCGAGGAGUACGCCUGUUCGAGUGUCGUGAAAUUCUCAAGCAAGAUAGCUUUAUUGCUAUUCUAGUUUGGAUUUGGGCUUUGCUGUGUUACUGCGGCUAGUCUUAAAAGCAUUAGCUGACUCUUGGUUUACAAGAUUGGUUCUACUCGGCGUGAUAAUUUUCUGAUCGCUGAGGACAUUUUCCGGAAUGGCCAGACUUGUCCUUGAGUUGCUUCUAACACGGUCCUAAUUAUUGGACUUUCUUCAUGAUUUGGCCUCGAAUCAGGCGGGACUACCCGCUGAACUUAA